Molecule: ribosomal RNA, 274 nt
Filed under: uncultured bacterium
Lineage: Bacteria
Description: partial 16S ribosomal RNA
Rfam family: Bacterial small subunit ribosomal RNA
Source: RNAcentral
AUACGGAGGGUGCAAGCGUUACUCGGAAUCACUGGGCGUAAGGGACGCGUAGGCGGGUUAUUAAGUCGGGUGUGAAAUCCAAUGGCUCAACCAUUGAACUGCAUUCGAAACUGAUAACCUAGAGUAUGGAAGGGGCAGGUGGAAUUAGUGGUGUAGGGGUAAAAUCCGUAGAUAUCACUAGGAAUACCGAAAGCGAAGGCGACCUGCUGGGACAUUACUGACGCUGAGGCGUGAAAGCGUGGGGAGCAAACAGGAUUAGAAACCCCUGUAGUCC